CGCGAAACUUCUGCAAUGCGCGAAAGCGUGACAGAGUCACCCCGGGUGCUUCCCGCUGAGGGAAGCUUUUCUCCAGUCUAAAAAGCUGGAGGAAUAAGGGGGGGGCAAGCCGGGUGUCAGCCGCCGCGGUAAUACCCGCUCCCCGAGUGGUGAGGGCGAUUAUUGGGCUUAAAGCGUCCGUAGCCGGCUCUACAAGUCUUCCGUAAAAUCCAAAGGCCUAACCUUUGGAUCGCGGAAGAUACUGUAGGGCUUGGAGGCGGGAGAGGUCGCGGGUACUUCCUGGGUAGGGGCGAAAUCCUCUGAUCCAGGAAGGACCACCAGUGGCGAAGGCGCGCGGCCAGAACGCGCUCGACGGUGAGGGACGAAAGCUGGGGGAGCGAACCGGAUUAGAUACCCGGGUAGUCCCAGCUGUAAACGAUGCGGACUAAGCGUCGGAGUGGGUACGGCCUACUCCGGUGCUGCAGGGAAACCAUUAAGUCCGCCGCCUGGGGAGUACGGCCGCAAGGCUGAAACUUAAAGGAAUUGGCGGGGGAGCACACAAGGGGUGAAUGCUGCGGCUUAAUUGGAGUCAACGCCGGGAACCUUACCAGGGGCGACAGCUGGAUGAAGGUCAGAUUGAAGGUCUUACCAGACUAGCUGAGAGGAGGUGCAUGGCCGUCUUCUCAGCUUGGGGGUAACCCUAACUGGGACGGUAAGCCAGCUCGUGCCGUGAGGUGUCCUGUUAAGUCAGGUAACGAGCGAGACCCCCAUCUUCUGUUGCUACUCCUGCCCAUCUGGGUAGGAAGCACUCAGAAGAGACUGCCACCGAUAAGGUGGAGGAAGGAGGGGGCAACGGCAGGUCAGUAUGCCCCGAAACCCCUGGGCCGCACGCGGCAGAUAAUGGUAGGGACAGAGGGUUCCGACCCCGAAAGGGGAAGGCAAUCCCUAAACCCUACCUUGGUUGGGAUCGAGGGCUGCAACUCGCCCUCGUGAACGUGGAAUCCCUAGUAACCGCGUGUCAUCAUCGCGCGGUGAAUAC
This 1018-nucleotide ribosomal RNA is filed under the name uncultured archaeon. Its description in RNAcentral is "bacterial SSU rRNA". It matches the Rfam family "Archaeal small subunit ribosomal RNA", at positions 340 to 1325 of the family's 1478-position model. The record is from RNAcentral.